GGAGGGGAGAGAAAGAGAAAGAAGGAGAAAGGGGAUUGCGUCACUUUACCACUCACAAUAUCACCUUUCUGUUCAUUCCACCCCCCCUCUCCGCACUUCUUCUUCUUCAUGACGUUCUUUCUCACUCUUUC
RNAcentral lists this microRNA precursor (131 nucleotides) under Trypanosoma vivax Y486. The record is from RNAcentral. Lineage: Eukaryota; Euglenozoa; Kinetoplastea; Trypanosomatida; Trypanosomatidae.